AUGUCUACCUGUGUGGCGAGAGAAGACAGGCAGAAGAGACGUACUCUGGUGCUGAGGCCCUCUUCUCGAACAAUUAGUAUUUCAGUAUCAGGUAUACAUGGAGUCAACCAAAGCGCCGUCGGCUCCCCGAGCAGGAAACGUUUCAGUCUGGGCGGUGGCAGCAAAGUUCUGGAGAAGAGCGUCGUUCACACUCCGAGACAAGCUGUUCGGCUGCGGAGUAGCAUAAGAAUUUCUGGGCUCACGAGUGCUCCCUACCUUGAGGCAAGAGAACUGCCUGCCUCACCCAGUGCCUCUUCAAUGCCAUUGUAAGAUCGCUGAGCACACGAAACAGGUUACACACAUAUAUUUUAUACAUGUGACUAUGAGAAAUCCGAUCUGGUCCGAUUUUAGUCAAACUAAGAUGUAUACAUGCAUCUUAAAAAUCCCAUCAUAGUCGGACUAACACAGUAAUUCGGUUUUCUUGAGUGUCAUGUAAACGCACUGAGCGACAUGCUGUCAUUGCAUUGCAGAGCACAGUUUGUGAGGGAUUGCGCAAUCCAAGGUGAGGCUCAGCUUGCUGCUGCCUCACCGUGCGUCU
Molecule: long non-coding RNA, 577 nt
Filed under: Sparus aurata (gilthead seabream)
Lineage: Eukaryota; Metazoa; Chordata; Actinopteri; Spariformes; Sparidae
Description: lncRNA (ENSSAUG00010022445.1)
Source: RNAcentral